Molecule: ribosomal RNA, 253 nt
Filed under: uncultured bacterium
Lineage: Bacteria
Description: partial 16S ribosomal RNA
Rfam family: Bacterial small subunit ribosomal RNA
Source: RNAcentral
UACGUAGGCAGCGAGCGUUGUUCGGAGUUACUGGGCGUAAAGAGUGUGUAGGCGGUGCUCUAAGUUCGGUGUGAAAUCUCCUGGCUUAACUGGGAGGGUGCGCCGGAAACUGGAGUGCUCGAGCGUGGGAGAGGAAAGCGGAAUUCCUGGUGUAGCGGUGAAAUGCGUAGAUAUCAGGAGGAACACCUGCGGUGUAGACGGCUUUCUGGACCAUUGCUGACGCUGAGACACGAAAGCGUGGGUAGCAAACAGG